This 1997-nucleotide ribosomal RNA is filed under the name uncultured Vexilliferidae. Its description in RNAcentral is "partial Bacterial large subunit ribosomal RNA". It matches the Rfam family "Bacterial large subunit ribosomal RNA", at positions 606 to 2628 of the family's 2925-position model. Lineage: Eukaryota; Discosea; Flabellinia; Dactylopodida; Vexilliferidae. The record is from RNAcentral.
UUUUGCAUAAUGAGCCUACGAGUUGUUGUUGUUGGCAAGGUUAAUCUGCUGUAGCAGAGCAACCGGAGCGAAAGCGAGUCUUAACAGGGCGCUUAGUCAGCAGUAGCAGACGCGAAACUUGGUGAUCUACCCAUGACCAGGAUGAAGUCUAGGUAACACUAGAUGGAGGUCCGAACCAGUUGACGUUGAAAAGUCUUUGGAUGAGUUGUGGGUAGGGGUGAAAGGCCAAUCAAACUUGAAGAUAGCUGGUUUUCUACGAAAUCUAUGUAAGUAGAGCGUUAUUUUAUUUAUUUAUUAAUGGUAGAGCAAUAACUAGAUUGUUAGAUUUAACAAAACUACGAAUAUUAAUAAAUUAAAAAUAACAGACAGACAUUAGGUGCGAAGAUCUAAAGUCAAAAGGGAAACAGCCCAGAUUAUUAGCUAAGAUCCCAAAGUUAUAGCCUAGUGAGUAAGGUCAAAAUAUUUAAUUAUUAUAAAUUUAUAAUAAGUAUAAUUAGGAGGUAAUCUUAUGAGCAGUUAUCCUUUAAAGAAAGCGUAAAAGCUCACUAUUUAUAUUGAAUAUUUUUACCUAUAAUUUAUAGGGACUAGCAGCUAUACAUCGAAGCUAUAAAUUAAUAAAAUUUUUAUUAAUGGUAGUAGAACGUUUUGUAUUUUGUUGAAGUUAUAUUGUAAAAUAUAAUGAAGAAAUCAAAAUUGAGAAUGCUGACAUGAGUAACGAAAAUAAUGUUUAUAAACAUUAUCACCGAAAGCCUAAGGGUUUCUACGGUAUGUUAAACAGCGUAGAUUUAGUCGGCCCCUAAGAUUAUAGUGAAAACUUAAAUUAAUGGGUAUUUUGUAAUUAAUAAUUACAAACUAUGAAUUAGUGACGUCAAUUUUAAAAUAUAUAUUAUGAUUUUUAAUUUUAUUAAUAUUUGUUAUUAAUAUGCUUAAUAUAUUUAUAAAAUUUGGCCUAGAAAAAACUAUUCGUAAUUUUUAUGUUUAUAAAAAUAAAAACCGUACUAAAACCGACACAGGUAGGCUGGUAGAGUAUACUAAGGUGAUUGAGAAAAUAAUACUGAAGGAAUUCGGCAAAAUAGCUCCGUAACUUCGGGAGAAGGAGUGCCUUAAUUAAGUAUAUAAAAAUAUACUUUAAGGUGUAAUAUAAUAGAGAAGAGCGACUGUUUAAUAAAAACACAGGACUCUGCUAAGUUGUAAAACGACGUAUAGAGUCUGAGACCUGCCCAGUGCUGUUUGGUUAAACAUUUAAGGUUUUUUUUAAGUAAAAGCUAAAAAUUAGAGCCUCGGUAAACGGCAGCUGUAAAUAUAACGGUUCUAAGGUAGCGAAAUUCAUUGUCGAGUAAGUUUUGACCUGCAUGAAUGGUUCAACGACUCUUCUACUGUCUCCAGUAUUAACUCAGUGAAAUUGAAAUUUCCGUGAAGAUGCGGAAUUUUAUCGGCGGGACGGAAAGACCCCAUGCACCUUUACUAUAGUUAUGUAUGGUUGGAGGGUAUUAAAUAUGUAGUAUAAAUGUUAGUCUAUGACAUCGUAACGCCAGUUACCUAUCGAGACGCCAGUGAAAUAGCAUUUUUUUAAUACUUAAAAACUAAUUUUAUAAAAAUAAAUAAGAGACAAUGCAUGAUUGGUAGUUUAACUGGGAAGGUUGCCUCCUAAAUAGUAACGGAGGCGUACAAAAGAUAAGUUUAAAUCUAAUUUUUAUUAGAUUGAAAGUAUAAUGGCAAUAAACUUAUUUGACUGUGAGACAAACAAGUCAAACAGAAAUCUGUUUUUUACAGGUUGGUCAUAGUGAUCCAGUGACUCUUUGUGGAAAGGUUGCUGCUCAACGGAUAAAAGGUACGCUGGGGAUAACAGGCUAAUAAUCCUUGAGAGUUCUUAUCGACGGGAUUGUUUGGCACCUCGAUGUCGGAUCAUCACAUCCUGGAGCUGAAGCAGGUUCCAAGGGUUAGGCUGUUCGCCUAUUAAAGUGGUACGUGAUCUGGGUUUAGAACGUCGUGAGACA